This 478-nucleotide ribosomal RNA is filed under the name uncultured bacterium. RNAcentral describes it as "bacterial SSU rRNA". It matches the Rfam family "Bacterial small subunit ribosomal RNA", at positions 501 to 978 of the family's 1533-position model. The record is from RNAcentral.
CUACGUGCCAGCAGCCGCGGUAAUACGUAGGUCCCGAGCGUUGUCCGGAUUUAUUGGGCGUAAAGCGAGCGCAGGCGGUUAGAUAAGUCUGAAGUUAAAGGCUGUGGCUUAACCAUAGUACGCUUUGGAAACUGUUUAACUUGAGUGCAGAAGGGGAGAGUGGAAUUCCAUGUGCAGCGGUGAAAUGCGUAGAUAUAUGGAGGAACACCGGUGGCGAAAGCGGCUCUCUGGCUUGUAACUGACGCUGAGGCUCGAAAGCGUGGGGAGCAAACAGGAUUAGAUACCCUGGUAGUCCACGCCGUAAACGAUGAGUGCUAGGUGUUAGACCCUUUCCGGGGUUUAGUGCCGUAGCUAACGCAUUAAGCACUCCGCCUGGGGAGUACGACCGCAAGGUUGAAACUCAAAKGAAUUGACGGGGGCCCGCACAAGCGGUGGAGCAUGUGGUUUAAUUCGAUGCAACGCGAAGAACCUUACCUGG